AACGUAGGACGCAAGCGUUAUCCGGAGUUACUGGGCGUAAAGCGCGCGCAGGCGGUCCUUUAAGUCUGAUGUGAAAGCCCUCGGCUCAACCGAGGAAGGUCAUUGGAAACUGGAGGACUUGAGUGCAGAAGAGGAAAGUGGAAUUCCAAGUGUAGCGGUGAAAUGCGUAGAGAUUUGGAGGAACACCAGUGGCGAAGGCGACUUUCUGGUCUGUAACUGACGCUGAGGCGCGAAAGCGUGGGGAGCAAACAGG
RNAcentral lists this ribosomal RNA (253 nucleotides) under uncultured bacterium. RNAcentral's name for it is "partial 16S ribosomal RNA". It matches the Rfam family "Bacterial small subunit ribosomal RNA", at positions 524 to 776 of the family's 1533-position model. The record is from RNAcentral.